Long non-coding RNA from Xenopus laevis (African clawed frog), 626 nucleotides. RefSeq lists it as uncharacterized. NCBI's taxonomy places the organism in Eukaryota, Metazoa, Chordata, Amphibia, Anura, Pipidae. The record is from RefSeq and is a predicted model, not a curated record. The transcript is spliced from 2 exons.
AAAGUGGAAAGGAUAUAUAUGAGUGACAGUAUAUAUAGGUAGGGCAGCACAGUGGCACAGUGGGUAGCACUGUGUCUUGCAGCUGGGAGUCCUGGGUUCAAUUCCAACCUGGGCCCUUUCUGUAAGGAGUUUGUAUGUUCUCCCUGUGUCUGUGUGGGUUUCCUCCGAGUACUUCGGUUUCCUCCCACAUUCCAAAAACAUACAAGAGACAGGUAGGGGGUCUCCCUGGUGCCCACAGGUGAAUGUGAUAGGCGCUGGGGCUCUCCUGAGUGUGGCUAUGAACAGCCAGGCUUAGGAGUGUGUAGGCCAUGGGAAAUGAUAGGGAAAUAGGGAAGCAGGUAGGGGGUCUCCCUGGUGCCCACAGGUGAAUGUGAUAGGUGCUGGGGCUCUCCUGAGUGUGGCUAUAAACAGCCAGGCUUAGGAGUGUGUAGGCCAUGGGAAAUGAUAGGGAAAUAGGGAGGCAGGUAGGGGGUCUCCCUGGUGCCCACAGGUGAAUGUGAUAGGUGCUGGGGCACUCCUGAGUGUGGCUAGGAGCAGCCAGGCUUAGGAGUGUGUAGGCCAUGGGUAAGAUAGGAUAGGUAAGCUAGAGGGAAGAAUUAAUUCCUGGGGAGGGGGGUCCCCCUUUU